This 253-nucleotide ribosomal RNA is filed under the name uncultured bacterium. Its description in RNAcentral is "partial 16S ribosomal RNA". It matches the Rfam family "Bacterial small subunit ribosomal RNA", at positions 524 to 776 of the family's 1533-position model. The record is from RNAcentral.
UACGUAGGCAGCGAGCGUUGUUCGGAGUUAUUGGGCGUAAAGAGCGUGUAGGCGGCCAUACAGGUCCGUUGUGAAAACUCGAGGCUCAACCUCGAGACGUCGAUGGAAACCGUAUGGCUAGAGUCCGGAAGAGGAGAGUGGAAUUCCUGGUGUAGCGGUGAAAUGCGCAGAUAUCAGGAAGAACACCCGUGGCGAAGGCGGCUCUCUGGGACGGUACUGACGCUGAGACGCGAAAGCGUGGGGAGCAAACAGG